GCCUCGUUAGCUCAGCUGGAUAGAGCACCUGCCUUCUAAGCAGGCGGUCACACGUUCGAAUCGUGUACGGGGUA
Molecule: transfer RNA, 74 nt
Filed under: Hymenobacter psychrophilus
Lineage: Bacteria; Pseudomonadati; Bacteroidota; Cytophagia; Cytophagales; Hymenobacteraceae
Also listed under: 4 other names
Description: tRNA_Arg_TCT
Rfam family: tRNA
About the family: Transfer RNA (tRNA) molecules are approximately 80 nucleotides in length. Their secondary structure includes four short double-helical elements and three loops (D, anti-codon, and T loops). Further hydrogen bonds mediate the characteristic L-shaped molecular structure. tRNAs have two regions of fundamental functional importance: the anti-codon, which is responsible for specific mRNA codon recognition, and the 3' end, to which the tRNAs corresponding amino acid is attached (by aminoacyl-tRNA synthetases). tRNAs cope with the degeneracy of the genetic code in two manners: having more than one tRNA (with a specific anti-codon) for a particular amino acid; and 'wobble' base-pairing, i.e. permitting non-standard base-pairing at the 3rd anti-codon position.
Source: RNAcentral